AUUGCUUUUCGGCGUUUUAGUUAAGAUUAAGUGUAGUAUCAGGUUUUAUCAGUUUAACAUCUGAUUCAUUCUUUAUCUGAGGACAAUAUGUUAGAUGGGUUUUUGGAGUAGGGAGAUGAAAUAGGAGCUUGUUCUGUCCACUCCACGUAUUGACAGAAACGGUGCACUUGCUUGAGCGAUACAUAUGUC
This is a small nuclear RNA of Chlorocebus sabaeus (green monkey), 189 nucleotides long. Its record names the gene U2. It matches the Rfam family "U2 spliceosomal RNA". From Rfam's summary of the family: U2 is a small nuclear RNA (snRNA) component of the spliceosome (involved in pre-mRNA splicing). Complementary binding between U2 snRNA (in an area lying towards the 5' end but 3' to hairpin I) and the branchpoint sequence (BPS) of the intron results the bulging out of an unpaired adenosine, on the BPS, which initiates a nucleophilic attack at the intronic 5' splice site, thus starting the first of two transesterification reactions that mediate splicing. The record is from Ensembl. Lineage: Eukaryota; Metazoa; Chordata; Mammalia; Primates; Cercopithecidae.